CAACGAAUGUGCCAUGUUCGCUGUUAGAGCUCUGGUGAGCGUCUGAAGUGCAGACACAUAUUCAAAGACGAGGAAUAAGAGGAACAAACAGACGUAAUGGGCAGGAAAACAUUUAGGAGGGUGUGUAAUCUUGUUAUGUCAGCCAAAGAAGCUCAAACUGGAUGCAGUGUGGUUAAUAUGUUUGGAAGAAAGCCGUCCGUCUCUCAGGAUCUUUAGCUGGAAAGGUCAAAGAUGGAAACUGGAAGCAGGAACUCUGAAGUGUGCCAAAAAAUUGCCACAAACUACAGAGGUAAUGAGACUGAAAUUGCAGUGCUAUGCUGUGAAGGGAACACCAGUGAAGAGGUUGAAAAGGAAUCAUCUACAGAUCUUCAGAGACACCCCAUGAAUCCUGAAGAGAACCAAAGUCAGUUUCUACAGAAGCUGACUGCUCUGAAGGAGACUUUGUCCGCUUCGGUCAGCUGCUUCAGGUGUACUCUGAAACCUGACGAAGGAGGCAACCAUGAUGAAGAUCAAUAUCAUUCAGUUACAAUCUUUAACAAACACACCAGAGAUUCUAUGGAUCGAAACACCGUCUGUGGCACUUCAGCUACAGGAAUAAAUCGAUGCAUUUAUGGAGGACUUAUGGAAAACAGAAGUGCAACAUUAAAUCCCAACAUUAUUGUUGAGGCAAACCCAAAGUCUUCAAGGUUAGAAAGUGCUUUGGUUCAGGACCGUUUUGGAGAAACUAGUGAGUGUACUGCUGAGGAAAUAAUAGUUCUAGCUAAUGAACAUGCUGUUGAGAAUAUAACCCCAACACAUAUACUUAAAAAGAAAUAGAAAAUGCCACCAUCCUGAUAUACAGUAGUAACAGCGUGUGAAGGAAACCAGGAGACUCUGAAGCUCCAGAAAAUCUCCAGGUGUAAGUGAUGACAUGAAAGGGACUCCAAAGGAAAUCUAAGUGGAGGGAUUCAGAUGAUCCCACGUUCUCUGUGAGUCACAUUUCUCCAAAUGUGAACAAUUUUCACAAACAGUAACGGACAUCAAGGAGAAGUGCGUCAGAGCAUCCAGCAGCGAGGGGACGAGAUCAGACUUUAUGCAACGUUUAACGGUGACUCAUUCUCAAUUCACCUCAACCCUGCCGGAGAAAAUGACACGGGCCCAAAUGGGAAACAAAAUAGCAGCAGGCACUGUGACUGAUGAUGCUGUUGUUAUGGAGAAUGUACAGUUGGAGGCUCUGAUGCUGCUCUCUCUGUCAGAACUGUACACACUGAGCAACGGUGGGAGGAAAUUCAGCGUUUUCUGCUGUCCAUAUGGAUUUCCACGUCUGGCACAGUUGCUAACAAUAUUUCACAGUGUUUUUCACUGAUUACCAACACAAGACAACAUACAACCAUAAAAAGGAUAAACCUUAAACCUUAAAAUUGUAAUUUGUUUUAAGGACGUGUUCUUUUCUUUGUCUACAAGGGAAGCUUUCAGCCUCUUGGUGCUGCUACAGGAAGGGAAUUCAGUGGCAACUUUGAUACAUAACCUUUUCUGGUCAGCUAUUCAGAUAUUCAGCCUAGUUUUUUAAAAUAUGAAUUAAUUUAGGAAUAUAUGACAUGCAGUACAAAACUGACAAGGCAUUAAAGCAACAAUGCUUUCUUUUUUUAUCUAAAUAUUUUGUCAAGAAGAAUAUAAAUACCAUUCAAUAUGGUGCCGCCUUCAGCUUAGCUUAGCAUAAAUAGUGGAAACAGGUGGUAACAGAUAGCCUGGAUCUGUGCAAAGGUGACAGAAUCCACCUCUUCUAAAUCUCAGUGAAGCGCACAUUAUAUCUAUUUGGGUUAAUACAUUCAAGGCUGUUGUUUAUUUAUUGGCUGAGUGUUACUUGGCCCUGCAGGAAACAGGGCAGACAUACGAGCAUAUUUCACUAUUUGACUUAGAACAAGAAAAGCACUACUCUACCAAGGCUGUUCUUUUGCCUAUAUUGUAUUGUCAGAAAUGCAGCAUUUUAUAGAAAUGCAUUUUUUAUAAGAUAUCCACUAUUUGUUUAUUUAUUAGUUCUUGAUGAUUAAAAAUCAUGGCAACAUAGAAUGUGUCCAUUUAAUAUAGAUGUACCCACAAACAAAAUGACCUUUCACUGAGCACAGGUGUGUGUUAUGCAUGUGUACAUUAGGUACAGAUACCAAAUCACCUGACCUAAAUAUGUAGCAACCGGUGGGAAUUGAUGGGACUUGGAAACACCCCCACAAUUUAAUCAAUUGUUUCUUGUAUCAUUUUCAACGGAUAAGUCCACAGCGGUCGAUAAGAAGUAGGAUCGCAAUCAUGUGAUCAUCAGCAGGCAGCUGACGUGAUAUUCACUUGUUGUCAUUGUUACAGUGACACCGUGCAGCUAUCUUGCAAUGAUACAGAAAUCUUGAACAAAUCCAUGGAUCUAGACUAUAAGCCACAUCACUGCCAAAAUCUAACCCUUUGGUCCUUUCUGACAUUCGGACAUUUCUGACCUUCCCUGAAAAUUUCAUCAUCAGUGAAUCCAUUUUGGAGUAAUGUUGCUAACAGACAGACAAACCAACACAGAAUGUCACAUAACUCCGCCCAGUCCCUUGGCAGAGUAACUAGAUGGAGAUUUUCCUCUAGUUUCAAGAUUUGGCAUUUAACCAGAAAACACUUAAACCCAUCUAUGCCAGUUGAAAUUGUGCUUUCUGAACAGCCAGAUGGUAACUAUCUCAACUGACCAUUCAGCUCAUCCUCGUAGCACCUUGGGAGAUUUUCUUAAGCACCACCUUAAUGUUUGCACACAUACGAAAAUUUUCUUAUGACUAUGAAGCAUAUUUAAGCUGCCUGAAACCUUUCUGGAUUUGAAUAAACUUACCCACACCACUGCUAAGAAAUGGCUUGUUGCCUGUUCCUAUCAAAACCUUCCAUCAUCAUAGCAUGUCUUCAUACAGCUGUCUCUGUUAUUCUGACUGCAUUAUUUAUAUAAUACUGUCUAUGAAAUGGGUUAGAUGUAUUGAUCUAAAUCCUUUCGUUGCAUAUUUUCUUCUAUUUUAUGUUGUAGGGAUUUAACAGUGGAGACAUGCUGUUGUACAUUACAUAGUUUUAAAAUGUUUUGGUGUAGAAGCUGACACUGUUAUGAUGGAGUCUGCCACACACUUUGUAUUGAUGUGAAUAAAUUCUGAACCAGUCUUA
Molecule: long non-coding RNA, 3144 nt
Organism: Acanthochromis polyacanthus (spiny chromis)
Lineage: Eukaryota; Metazoa; Chordata; Actinopteri; Pomacentridae
Exons: 2
Source: RefSeq, a predicted model, not a curated record